CACCACUCCAGCCUCGCUGGGCCUUGGGCGCCGCUGCUCCGUCGGCGCGCCCCAAUGUCUCCGGCUGAGCCGUCCGUCUCAAAGCGUUGUGGCAACUCAAUCCGCUUGUGGGACCGGGGGGCUCGUCGCCGUCAAAACACACCAUUUUACCA
This 152-nucleotide unclassified non-coding RNA is filed under the name Constantinomyces oldenburgensis. RNAcentral's name for it is "partial internal transcribed spacer 2". Lineage: Eukaryota; Fungi; Ascomycota; Dothideomycetes; Mycosphaerellales; Teratosphaeriaceae. The record is from RNAcentral.